UGUCAAAUGGAUUAAAACUUGAUCUUUUCUAUCUUCUGUUUUUAGACUCUUCUAGGUCGAGCUCUCCCUUUAACAAAGACUCAGAGUCUCUCCCAGCAGGAUGUCCUGGAGACGUAUACGCUUCAGGUAAAGGUGUUGCUAGAUGGUUUCUAUGCUACUAGGUCAGUUGCUAAGAGGUUGCUAGGUGGUUACCAUGCUACUGGAUCAGUCGUUUGCUGGAUACUAUGCCACAGGGUAAGCUGCUAAAGGUGUUGCAAGGUGGUUGCUGGGGUGUUGCUAUAUGUUAGCUGUUAGUUGCUAAGGUGUUGCUCUUUUAUAGGUGCAGGCUAGUCCUUAAAGAUUUAGGCCUAACCUAUACCUGUAAAACAGAAACACCGUAUCAACCACCAGUAUAUCGGCAAGACACAAAGCAAAACUUCAUCUUUCUAUCUUCUGUUUUUAGACUUUUCUAGGUCGAGCUCUCCCACUAACAAAGACUCAGAGUCUCUCCCAGCAGGAUGUUCUGGAGAGGGAACUGGAGAUGUAUAUAUUUUAGAUAAAGACUCUUCUAGAUCAAGCUCUCCUUCUAUCAAAGACUCAGAGUCUCUCCCAGCUGGAGUGGGAACUGGGGAUGGAUAUGCUUCAGGUAAGAUCUGUAAGGAGAUCAGCUCCAGUAGGUCUGAGAGCAGCAGUGUGGAGGUCAGAUGCAGACCUCAGGUCAGAUAUAAGACCAGCGCUCAGCUGAUUAAGAAGAAGCUGGACCAGAUCAAAGCUGAGCUGCAGAAACUUUCAGAGCAGCACCUGCGUCUGCGUCCAGAACGGAAGGCGUAUCAUCCUUUUGUGUGGAACAGCCUGAGUCCGUACAGAGACACGGCCCAGAUCGACUAUCUGCUCGCCGGGGCUUCUGACCCCCGCGCCCCUGAUGGAGGACCCUUAAUGAGGUCAGGAAGCGCCCGCCUGUAGAUCUGACCCGACCUGUCAGUCUGUGCCGGUGUGAAAAAUGACUCGCAUGUAUGAUUUUCACUUUAAUAAGCAUAAAGUUGGAGCGUAGCAUGGUUAAUGACUUCGUUUUAUGGGAAUCAGCCCACAGAACUGCUCUAUACUCCACCCACAGAAAUGACUAUAUUAUAUUACACUCUUCUGGCACCAUGCUCCCACUGCCCUGCUAAAAUUCACUCCAUAGUGUUGCUUAUUCUUGCAGUGAGAACAGCAAACAUGAAAUCCUCUUUAAAUUAAGUUUAAGUAUCUGAAAUUUAUUUUUAUACAUUGCUCUCAGGAUUUUAUAAAAACAUUUGACUGAUUUUUAAUUAAGUAAUUGGAUCUACUGAACAUUUCUCCUUCCAUUUUUUAGGUAUUCUAGCUUAUUUUAAGCAUUAUUUCUUGAGAAAACUUUAGUUAUCAUCAUUUCCUCAAUUAAUCAAAAUGAUGUGUCAAUAGAAUUAAAU
This 1424-nucleotide long non-coding RNA is filed under the name Astyanax mexicanus (Mexican tetra). RNAcentral's name for it is "lncRNA (ENSAMXG00005024754.1)". The record is from RNAcentral. Lineage: Eukaryota; Metazoa; Chordata; Actinopteri; Characiformes; Acestrorhamphidae.